CUACGGGAGGCACCAGUGGGGAAUAUUGCACAAUGGGCGCAAGCCUGAUGCAGCCAUGCCGCGUGUAUGAAGAAGGCCUUCGGGUUGUAAAGUACUUUCAGCGGGGAGGAAGGGAGUAAAGUUAAUACCUUUGCUCAUUGACGUUACCCGCAGAAGAAGCACCGGCUAACUCCGUGCCAGCAGCCGCGGUAAUACGGAGGGUGCAAGUGUUAAUCGGAAUUACUGGGCGUAAAGCGCACGCAGGCGGUUUGUUAAGUCAGAUGUGAAAUCCCCGGGCUCAACCUGGGAACUGCAUCUGAUACUGGAGAGCUUGAGUCUCGUAGAGGGGGGUAGAAUUCCAGGUGUAGCGGUGAAAUGCGUAGAGAUCUGGAGGAAUACCGGUGGCGAAGGCGGCCCCCUGGACGAAGACUGACGCUCAGGUGCGAAAGCGUGGGGAGCAAACAGGAUUAGAUACCCGAGUAGUC
RNAcentral lists this ribosomal RNA (464 nucleotides) under uncultured bacterium. RNAcentral describes it as "partial 16S ribosomal RNA". It matches the Rfam family "Bacterial small subunit ribosomal RNA", at positions 339 to 795 of the family's 1533-position model. The record is from RNAcentral.